This 504-nucleotide ribosomal RNA is filed under the name Triticum aestivum (bread wheat). RNAcentral's name for it is "partial small subunit ribosomal RNA". Lineage: Eukaryota; Viridiplantae; Streptophyta; Magnoliopsida; Poales; Poaceae. The record is from RNAcentral.
UCAAAAUCUCUGGAUCAACUAAAGACUCUGGGCUUCCAUCAAGCCACUACUACAUCGAUUUCGUUAGGAAUCGAGGAUCUUUUAACAAUACCCUCUAAGGGAUGGUUAGUCCAAGACGCGGAACAACAGAGUUUUCUUUUGGAGAAACACUAUUAUUAUGGGGCUGUACACGCGGUAGAAAAAUUACGCCAAUCUGUUGAGAUAUGGUAUGCGACAAGUGAAUAUUUGAAACAAGAAAUGAAUUCAAAUUUUCGGAUAACGGAUCCUUCUAAUCCAGUCUAUCUAAUGUCUUUUUCAGGAGCCAGAGGAAAUGCAUCUCAAGUACACCAAUUAGUAGGUAUGAGAGGAUUAAUGUCGGACCCUCAAGGAAUUGAUUUACCUAUUCAAAGCAAUUUACGCGAGGGACUUUCUUUGACAGAAUAUAUAAUUUCCUGCUAUGGAGCCCGCAAAGGGGUUGUAGAUACUGCUGUGCGAACAGCAGAUGCUGGACAAAAAUUUCCCUGA